RNA transcript from Hevea brasiliensis (rubber tree), 4082 nucleotides. It is a transcript of the gene named C-terminal binding protein AN, with no coding region annotated. Lineage: Eukaryota; Viridiplantae; Streptophyta; Magnoliopsida; Malpighiales; Euphorbiaceae. The transcript has 8 exons. The record is from RefSeq and is a predicted model, not a curated record.
AAGUGAACAAUUUUGAUCUAAUUGUAUGUUAUCAUGGAUCAGUAGAAAGAACUGGAAAUCUUUCAGAAUUUUAAAGCCAGUCUGGAAGAUGUCAAUGUAGUGGCCAAGGAAAUAAGACUUUUAGACAAUAUCUUUGAUCUGUUAGAUAUGAGUUUUUGUGGGUAGGGUGAAAAUUGUACAGUGUUUUUGGAUGUUAGUCUCAAGGAUAUUUGAUCAUAUGAUGAGCUUGCAUUGAAUAAAUGGGAGUUAGCUGGGAGUUCUCCAUCGUAUUUCUAUGGCUGUUUAUUAGACCAUGCGGUUGUUGGUUUGAGUGGGAGUUGGAUGUGAUUUUAAUGUCUGGUUCAGCAUUUGGACAAUCAGAGCUUUGGAAUUGGGGCUUAAAGACGUGAUUGAUCCUAUGAUAAGCCAGUAUACAUACAUGUUCAGCAGCCAGCAUGAGUUUGUAAGGUUAUGGGUUUACUUCCAUGCAUCUACAUCGUAAUAUGCUCUCUCUCUCUCUCUCUCUCUCUCUACUUUAGGAAGUGUUAUAUAGUUGUUCUAUCUUGUAAACUAGCUUAUGCGAUUUCUCUCUCUCUCUCUCUCUCUCUCUCUACUUUAGGAAGUGUUAUAUAGUUGUCCUUUCUUGUAAACUAGCUUUAAAUGUGAUGUUUAAAUUUCAUAAAUUUGUUGGAAUCUGUAUGUUGUACUUUGGAAAUAAGGAGAAGUAUUUUCCGCAAUUAGCAAGAUGUUAUCGCUGCAAUGUAGUUUUUUUAGCUAGCUAAUAAGUGUUGUAACGCCAUUUUAUUUUGAUUCGACUUGUUGGAAGCCCAGGAUUAAAAAAGUCCAGAGGCUUUCUUUUCUUUUGGGUCUUUAUUUAGCAAUGCACUCGGCUUCAAAAAUUCAAUAUUUGUCACACGAUGCCCAUUGAAGCGGUAACGUUUCAUUAGCUCCUCUACUGUGCAUGAGAAAACUCGCCCAUUAGAAGAGGACAACGAAGAAUCUCGUUGAAAAAGUCUGUAUUAUACAAGCAAGCAUAUUACGUAAUUUAUACCAUUGAAAUUCGAAUAUUAUCGUUGACAAGAGUUGGGAUAUGACUGGAAACUCGAAAAUGGCAAGGGCAUGUCAUGUGUGAGGGGAGGCGUAGCAAGGAUUGUAGAGUAAAAAGGAAGACCGUGGUCUGAUCCAUGGUUGGUAAGGCAGGGACGUUUCAACUUUCAAAAUUCAAGUGUUCAAUUUCAAUCCCCCCUCCUGGAGCACUGGAGCAAUCAGCCAAAACCAAAAAACGACGCAUCAUCAUUCAUCAGAUGUCACAAACAAAACCUAACUUAGAUUAGAUGCCCUUUCACUUUCCUUGUAGGCUGAAAACCCCUCAGAAAUGCUCAAAUUUACAACAUUAAACCCUAAUCACCACCACCACGGCACCAUUACCACCGCCACCACAUUUAGCAUGCUCAGACUAGAAGCACAACGUAAUGACUAACGUCAAUAUCAGAUCCUCUGCGACAAUGUCUCACCGUAACAGCCCCGCGCAAGCUCUUCCCUUAGUAGUAACCAUCAACUGCAUCGAGGAUUGCGAGAUCGAGCAAGGCUCUCUAGCCGGCGUCGCAAGCGUCGAGCACGUGCCGCUCAGCCGCCUAGCUGAUGGCAAGAUUGAAUCAGCUGCUGCUGUGCUUCUCCACUCUCUCGCAUACCUCCCUCGUGCCGCCCAGCGCCGCCUCCGUCCCUACCAGUUCAUCUUAUGCCUUGGUUCGGCUAACCGUGCAGUAGACUCGGCUCUUGCAGCUGACCUGGGGCUCCGGCUUAUUCAUGUGGACACGCCGCGGGCCGAAGAGAUCGCGGACACAGUGAUGGCUUUAUUCCUUGGUUUGCUGCGUCGGACGCAUUUGCUUUCCCGCCACGCACUCUCUGUUUCAGGAUGGCUUGGCUCGGUGCAGCCGCUAUGUAGAGGAAUGAGGAGAUGUAGAGGGCUGGUUUUGGGGAUCGUUGGUAGAUCUGCAUCAGCGAGGUGUUUAGCUACCAGGAGCUUGGCUUUCAGGAUGAAUGUGCUAUAUUUUGAUGUUCAAGAGGGAAAAGGAAAAGUAAGUAGAUCUUCCAUAAGAUUUCCGCCUGCAGCCCGAAGAAUGGAUACUCUUAAUGAUUUAUUAGCUGCAAGUGACCUUAUCUCGCUUCACUGUGCUUUAACAAAUGAAACAGUUCAGAUCAUCAAUGCUGAAUGUUUGCAGCAUAUAAAGCCAGGGGCGUUUCUUGUGAACACAGGCAGCAGUCAGCUACUAGAUGACUGUGCUUUGAAGCAGCUUUUGAUUGAUGGAACCUUGGCUGGAUGUGCGCUGGAUGGUGCUGAAGGACCUCAGUGGAUGGAAGCAUGGGUAAAGGAGAUGCCCAAUGUAUUGAUACUUCCACGCAGUGCAGAUUACAGUGAAGAAGUGUGGAUGGAGAUAAGGGACAAAGCCAUCUCUUUAUUGCGGUCGUUCUUCUUUGAUGGCGUUAUACCAAAGGAUGUCAUCUCUGAUGAGGAGGAGGAAAGUGAAGUAGCUGAUGGAAGCGAACAGAUUCUCAAACAAGACAGUGAAAGUGCUCAACAGGAUUCUGUUGGUGUGCAGUUGAAGGAUGAUAUUCUGUUGAGUCCAGAAAACUCCAACAGAAAAGGUAACAAUCAAUCAACUGCAUCUCCUAGCCAGUCUAAGGGUUCUGGCUUGUCUCAAACAGCUGUAAGGUCUGAAGGAAGACGUAGCAGAUCAGGUAAGAAAGCAAAGAAAAGACAUGGCCGUCAAAAAUCCUUGCACAAAUCAGAUGAUCCUUCUCAAUUUGAAAAAGAAAGUACUUCACAUCGAGAAGAUGGUACUGCUUUGAGUGGUACUGAUCAAGUUUUAAGUUCCAGUUCUCGGUUUGGUUCCCCUGAAGACUCAAGAAGUAGGAAAACACCAAUAGAAUCAAUGCAAGAGUCAACUUGUGACCAGUUUUUAAGACCAAGCAAUGUGCUUCGUGGAAAGUCUGGUGAACUGCUGAAAGAUGGGUGUGUUAUUGCUUUAUAUGCAAGAGAUUACCUUGAACUCUAUGUCGCAAGGCAGAGAGUUAAAGGCGGUGGUUGGUUCCUGGAUGCCAUGUCAAAUGUAACCAAAAGAGAUCCCGCAGCACAGUUCCUUCUUGUUUUUAGAAGCAAGGACACCAUUGGAUUGCGCUCUUUUGCUGCUGGUGGAAAGUUAUUGCAGAUUAACAGAAGAAUGGAAUUUGUAUUUGGUAGUCACAGCUUUGAUGUUUGGGAGAGUUGGAUGUUGGAAGGUUCAUUGGAGGAAUGUAGGCUGGUUAACUGUAGAAAUCCUUUGGCUAUUUUGGAUGUACGCGUUGAGAUUCUGGCAGUGGUAGGAGAAGAUGGAGUUACUCGUUGGCUUGAUUAGGCUGUGAAGCAAGAGUGAAGAUAUCUAACCCUUUUUCCUGCCAAAUUUUGUUAUUCUUCUGAGUGUUCGAAAGGAUUAUUGGAUUUCCCUUGAGUCGCUGAAGUUCCAUUGGAGUCUGUUGGUUUUAAAGGUAAAAUUGUGAUGUCGCGACUUGAUCUCUAUCAUGCCUCUUUGGUGUUGAUCUCUGGCUGUAACAGACAAGCCUCUCUAAUUGUAAAUCACAAAGGCAUGUGCACUCUUACGGCGCCCAAUUGCUGCAAAUUUUUUGGGAAAAAAAAGUCUAAAAUAGUUGGUGAUUGGAGGAUUUGGGGGUUUUACUGGUAAUAUAUUUGGCUGGAGGAAGAAUUGUAAUGCAUAGCCGGGGGAACGUCAAGCUUGCUGGCCAUGGGCUUCGCCAAUUCUUUCAGUAAAUCAGAAGGAUCGGCAUGUUUGGAAUUUUAGGGGAGAAGCUUGUAGGCAUGGGCAAAAGGUCCAAGAGGUCUAAACCCUAAUUCUAGGGUGCGGGAAGGUCCCAUAUCAUGAAAAUUCACAUGGUUCAUGGCCACAGCUUCCUUACGGAAGAGGUAAACCAUGGGGCAGGGCAGACGUUCUUGUACUUUUAUGAUUCACGGGAGCCCAAAUAUAUUGCGUUCGAUUUGUAUCGGUUAACUGAAGUUUGAUUGACGGGUUGAUUUCAAUUUUGAUUCUGAUAAAUUUAUUCUUUGAAAA